GCUGGCGGCGUGCCUAAUACAUGCAAGUUGAGCGCUGAAGGUUGGUACUUGUACCGACUGGAUGAGCAGCGAACGGGUGAGUAACGCGUGGGGAAUCUGCCUUUGAGCGGGGGACAACAUUUGGAAACGAAUGCUAGUACCGCAUAAAAACUUUAAACACAAGUUUUAAGUUUGAAAGAUGCAAUUGCAUCACUCAAAGAUGAUCCCGCGUUGUAUUAGCUAGUUGGUGAGGUAAAGGCUCACCAAGGCGAUGAUACAUAGCCGACCUGAGAGGGUGAUCGGCCACAUUGGGACUGAGACACGGCCCAAACUCCUACGGGAGGCAGCAGUAGGGAAUCUUCGGCAAUGGACGAAAGUCUGACCGAGCAACGCCGCGUGAGUGAAGAAGGUUUUCGGAUCGUAAAACUCUGUUGGUAGAGAAGAACGUUGGUGAGAGUGGAAAGCUCAUCAAGUGACGGUAACUACCCAGAAAGGGACGGCUAACUACGUGCCAGCAGCCGCGGUAAUACGUAGGUCCCGAGCGUUGUCCGGAUUUAUUGGGCGUAAAGCGAGCGCAGGUGGUUUAUUAAGUCUGGUGUAAAAGGCAGUGGCUCAACCAGUGUAUGCAUUGGAAACUGGUAGACUUGAGUGCAGGAGAGGAGAGUGGAAUUCCAUGUGUAGCGGUGAAAUGCGUAGAUAUAUGGAGGAACACCGGUGGCGAAAGCGGCUCUCUGGCCUGUAACUGACACUGAGGCUCGAAAGCGUGGGGAGCAAACAGGAUUAGAUACCCUGGUAGUCCACGCCGUAAACGAUGGGUGCUAGAUGUAGGGAGCUAUAAGUUCUCUGUAUCGCAGCUAACGCAAUAAGCACUCCGCCUGGGGAGUACGACCGCAAGGUUGAAACUCAAAG
RNAcentral lists this ribosomal RNA (888 nucleotides) under uncultured Lactococcus sp. RNAcentral describes it as "bacterial SSU rRNA". It matches the Rfam family "Bacterial small subunit ribosomal RNA", at positions 35 to 906 of the family's 1533-position model. The record is from RNAcentral. Lineage: Bacteria; Bacillati; Bacillota; Bacilli; Lactobacillales; Streptococcaceae.